UCUCAACAAGUGGGUUGGUGUUUGAUUGAGCAUUUUCAUUGUGGCUCAAGUAGUCAGUCUGUUUGUCAGUUGAUUGGGUGUUUCUCUAAAUAAGAUUUGAACUUCUUCAUAGGCCUUUUAUUAGCUAUUGUUUAGGUAGUCACUCAGCUUCCUCAUGUAUUACAAUAGAUGAUGAACAGAGAUGCAUUCUCAGUAUCAUGUUGUAAACCUCAUAUGGGUUAUUAGACAUAAAGCCAAAGGAGCACAGAGAGAUUGUUCUGAUUAGUUUCCAUUGCUAAUUCUUUGCAUGGAGGAUGGAGGAUCAUAUGAAGGGAGCAGUGUGCUUGGAAUGUCAAGGGCAAAAGCAGCAUGGAGGCGAAAAGAAAAGAUGAAGUUGUCCAAGAUGAACAUACCCGGAUUUGAAUAAUUGGUCAAGUCAUACAAGGAGCGAAUGAUUGAUUUGAAACAGUAGUUUGAUUUCAGAGGCCGAUUAGUGGAAGAAAAGGCUGAGACCAUUCCAAGAGGGGAACACAGGAAGAUUGGUAUCUUACGUCUUUUUCUCUUUUGUCCAGAGAUUCUCUUUCAUGCUUUGGACGGUUGCCAUUUUUUGACAUCUUCAAUACAUCUUGAUGUAGGACAGACUUAAAUUUCUCUUCUCACAUUGAAAUGAUGAGAUUGGAGAUGUUAUAAUGAAGAGGGUGGAAAAUUUCAGGCUUGAAAAUCAAAACAUGCAAGUGGGUUUGUUUUUUGUUUUUAUCAGGCAUAGAAGCUCCAAUCUUUGCCAUUUUGUCAAUAUGUUUUUAUUGGGCAUUAAUGAGUUGUAAGAAGAGAGUGUUUUGGCUUUUGUAAGUUCAAAACAAAACAGUAAUCCUCUUGUUUGUUUUUGGAUUUUGGAUGAUAUAAAAAGUAAAAACAAUUUGUUGGCUGUUUGAA
Cryptomeria japonica (Japanese cedar) is the source of this 912-nucleotide long non-coding RNA. RefSeq lists it as uncharacterized. The transcript is spliced from 2 exons. The record is from RefSeq and is a predicted model, not a curated record. Lineage: Eukaryota; Viridiplantae; Streptophyta; Pinopsida; Cupressales; Cupressaceae.